GAGUAUCGGACCUGAGAAAGAAAAAAUAUGACCUGAUAGAUAAUUAAACCUGUGUUCAUCUUAAAAAAUUCGUAAACCAAAAAAAAUGUAAAUUAUGACCCCCUUUAAAAACAUACUAUAAGUUAAGAGAAGGCUGGAAACUCUAGAUUCGAGCCUACGAGCAAGGGAUUCACUACCCAGGCCGUUGUGAAAACAAUUGUCCAGACAAUUAAAAAUCUUUUAUCAUUAUUUCACAUUUGUAUUAAGCUUCCAAAUGAGACCAACUCCAAGUCUCUAGCCCUUCCUGUUCAUUAAAUAAUCCCAUCAGGAAACGAGCGCAUUCGUGCUAAAAAUCCUUGGUAGAAAAAAUUGCGGCACAACAAUUCGGUACGUAAACAUAGACUAAUACAUGUUUGUCAGCCGUGCACAGGUCAUAAUCAUAUUGUCACUUGGUGCAAUAACUCGCUUAAUGUAUAUGUAUUUUUUAACUACUUAUUAAUGUAUUUUCAUUUUAUUGUCAAUAGGCCAUCAAAAAGGCUGUAUGAAUCGGAUAGUGACACUGAUGAGAAUGAGACAGACACCGAGAGUAGGCCAUCACAAGUUAUUGACAAAGCAACAACUCCAAACAGGCACGAAGCCUGCUUUCACCUCCGCCUUGCUUAUCUGGACAGGCAUUGCGAGAGGCCAGCAGUGAUGUGCAAAGUGCUUCUCUAAUACAAGCUGCUGUUACACAGAUUCUCUGAGUCUUGUAGACAAUGCGGGAGGAGAAUCGUGAAAUUAAGAGGAUGAUGUAGCAAUUGUUGUCAAGGUCAGCAGCAGAUGACCAACCGCUGCAGCUUCCUGAAGAUAUCUCAUUCCCUUUUCGUUCUCCUUAGCAGAUGGAAACAUUCGAUGAGCUUCUUGGAGAUCAGACAAAGCUGUCAUCUGUGGUGCGGUUCCUCUCAAUGUUUGGUGGGGCAGUUGUGCGGGAAACUGUUGACCGCUAGAUGAUAGAAACCAUGUCAAAUGAACUGGCAAGAAUGUUCAAUAUGAAGGGGGCUGAAAGGGAAGAAAACAUUUGGGGGCCUCUAGAUACUGAAUGUAUUGUAUAGAUGUGUCCAAAGGAACUUGCCGACAAAGACUGCAACGAGGAAGGAUAUUGAAAUAAAGGUUUCAAAGUGGCUGGCUGGGGCGUGGGACGCGCGAUGGGGGAAGGAAAGCAAGAAACAAAGUGUCCGAGACCUUACCUGAAGCAAAUGAAGGAAGUGACUAGACAUGUUUUUAUUUUAAAAAAAUGCAAAUCUAUAGAGGAUAUUUGUUUGUUAGUGUGUAAGAUGACAUUUUAUAUCAUCAAGUGAGCUGUAAAAACAUUAUUCUCACGAGUGAGAACACUGUUAUUUAAAAGUCCCUCAAUGAUAUAAAAUUACAUCUUACACAACAAACAAUAAAGUGUCUUUUUUAUUUUAUGCUAAUGAAAUUUCCUCAAUAUUAACUUUAAUAAUUAUUAAAUCUGUUUUCCCCACUGUUAACAUCAAUUUUAGUUGAAUUUAAGUCCAAUUAUUCAUAAAUACAGGAGUCUUGGGCUUAACAAAAAGUUUGACAAUCAACGUUGAAUAGCAAUGAUUUUAUUUAUUUUAUUAAAAAAUAUAUGAAUAAUCGCUUGUUUUAAUAAUAAAAACAACCAAUUCUAGUAGAAAAAGUCACACCAUCCCACCUUAUUUCUGUUACUCAGGCAAUUUAUGUAUGACCUGGCUUUGUGAAAUGUAAGUGGUGGCCAUUUUUAAAAGUUUUGUAUUUUAAGGAAAAUUAAUUUUGUUUUAUUCAGAGGAAUAUUAUUUGGAUAGGUUAGUCUUGAAACAGUCCUGAGAAUGUCAGAAUUGUAAGCAAAAAUGAUAUUAAGGUACCACAUGGGGAAAAUCUUUAAAAAAGUAGUCUCGUCAUUGAAAAGUUUGAAAUUUGGAUCAUUUUCACUGUGAAAUUAUCAAAUAUAAUUUUCACGGAUACAUCAGUAAUACACACACAAAAGCAUAAAAUGAAUGACUUUUAUUUUACAUUUUCGAACCUUUUCUUCGUCGGCAUAUAAGUUAUUCCAAUGAUUGAAAGUCAAUAGAUAUCAAAGUAUUUUAAAAUGUGAUAAGGGUCAGAACUACAGUAAGUGGCUCAUUUGUGUGUCUUGUUAUACUUUUUGUUGCUAGUUUUAAUGUUUGAGGUCAUCAGCAUAGCAUGUCUUUCUUGUAAAUGAAAAAUUCUUUGCCUUCUAGUCAGUUUAUGUUGCUGCUAUGUAACGUUUGUUGUUGACAUUAUAUGCUGUUUUUCUGUUGUCUAUAUGCUGUUGUUAUUUUUUUUCAUUAAACAUUGUUGCUAUUUAAAUCAAGACAUUAAAUGCUUGGGGAAUGUUUUUGAUACUGAUCAAUACAAUUAUAACAUCUUGUCCAAACUUAACACUAACAGGGAACACAUAUAUAGGUAUGGUAUUAACAUUUUAAAUCAAGUUGAAAUACUGUACAAUGAUGCUUCUUGUAAUCUUUAUUUUUGUUCUUGUUGAAACUUUGAUAAUACCGGUAUUGGAUAAAUUACUGAAACAACUAUUGUUACUGACAAUUUUUUUAAAAUGAACUUCUUCACAACAAAUUUGAUCUUGUUAAAUCAGUAUUAUUUCACAUUUUUUAAAGGAAUAUAUCCAUAAAUAAUUACUGUUCUGUGAUAUAUAGGAUAAUUGUUAAUUUCGGUGUAAUAUCACAUUUUAUUUAUAAUUAAUUUCACAGAGUGGAUACGUAAAGUGUUGUUCACAAAGUGGCGCAGCCAUGAGUGAAAAUAACAAAUAUGGUAUUCAGAAGUGAACUUAUCAUGAUACUUACAUUGAUACAGUAUACAUGUAUGUGUUUACUUUAUGUCUAAAACUCCACUAAUGUUUGGUUCCUUUCAAUAAAAGGUUGAAAUAUGCGAGAAACUUUUUAUCAGGAAGCAUCGCAAAGAUGAAGUCAUUUUAUUGACGUUGUUGUCAUAUUUUUUUUCCGAAUUUCAGUAUACUUGGUUAACUUUUUUGAUAUUUAUAUAGUUAUCAAAUUCGAUAAUUUUUUUCACAAAGUGGCUAGUGAGUCAGGAUAGAAUUCAACGUUAACUUCCAUAAACCAUUGAAAAUUGAUAAAAGAUUAAUGAAAUUCUUAUUGAGAAUGAUAUUAGCACAUAGAAAACUGAUCCAAACAGUAACGUUUCACAAAAGGUUACUAUAACUAUUGAUAUUAACAAUUGAAAUGCAUUAAAUUGUAAAUACUAUUGUUAUUUCUUGCCUUUAUUGUGGUUUUUGUUGAUGAAGAUAUGAGAAAUGAAGCUGGUUAUUUUUACAAACUGGUACAAACUAUUUGUUACUUUUCAUCAGCUGCAUAUUUUUUUUAAAAGUCUAUAAACAGUAUUUUAUGUGCCAAGGUUUGUUAUUAUAUUUGUUACUUUUCAUCAGCUGUAUAUUUUGUUUACACAUCUAUGAACAGUAUUACAACUGUGCCAAGGUUUUGUUUUAUUAUAUUUGUUACAUUUCACAAGCUGUAUAAUAUUUUUUCUUUCAGCACUAUCAUACCAAAGUGUAAUAUAUGGUUGUAAUGAACAACUUUUUAUAUUUAUUCAUGUAGAUCUAUUUCAUUUGUCCAAUACAAAGAUAUCUGAAAAUUUAAAUAUCAUAUAAAACAUAGAUACUAUUUCAUUUGAAAAUGAAAGUAAUUGGUAGAUAGAAAUUUGUAAUGAAUUACAAUAAAUGUAUAAUACUUUCCUAUGAAUUAUGUAGAAAUUUAAAAAGACAUGGGAGUAGGUUUGCAGUUGUGUCUUUGAGAAUCUGUAUAUAUAUGAUACACUCUUACCAUAAUUGAGAUUACUAAAUAAAGUUAACAUUGUUAAAGCAUA
Long non-coding RNA from Ruditapes philippinarum (Manila clam), 3852 nucleotides. RefSeq lists it as uncharacterized. The transcript has 4 exons. NCBI's taxonomy places the organism in Eukaryota, Metazoa, Mollusca, Bivalvia, Venerida, Veneridae. The record is from RefSeq and is a predicted model, not a curated record.